GAGACCAUCCUGGCCAACAUGGUGAAACCCUAUCUCUACUAAAAAUACAAAAAAAUUAGCUGGGCAUGGUGGCGCAUGCCUGUAGUCCCAGCUACUCGGGAGGCUGAGGCAGGAGAAUUUCUUGAACCUGGGAGUUGGAGGUUGCAGUGAGCCAAGAUCGCACCACUGCACUCCAGCCUGGUGACAGAGUGAGACUCUGUCUCAUUGAAAAAAAAAAAAAAAAAAAGAAAUACACUAUUAACAACUGCUAUCGCUAAGGUUUUUUUUUUUUUGAGACGGAGUCUGGCUCUGUCACCCAGGCUGGAGUGCAGUAGCGCGAUCUUGGCUCACUGCAACCUCUGCCUCUUGGGUUCAGUGAUUCUCCUGCCUCAGUCUCCUGAGUAGCUGGGAUUACAGACGCACAUCACCACGCCUGGCUAAUUUUUGUAUUUUUAGUAGAGACAGGGUUUCACCGUGUUGACUAGGCUGGUCUCGAACUCCUGACCUCAGGUGAUCCACAUGCCUCGGCCUCCCAAAGUUCUGGGAUUACAGAUGUGAGCCACUGUGUCCUGCCAGCACUAAGUAUUGACUAUCUUGUUUUCAGAGCAAGGAGAAAACUUUUAGAAAACAUGGUUCUAGCCCUAGUUGUUUCUUAAUUAGUUUCUUCAGCUUUAGUAUGGCAUCUGAAGGCAAUUGCAUCAUAUUUCAUAAUCACCCGGCUGAACUAUUUGCUGUUUAGUCCAGCACUGGGCACUGAGGCUAAAAGGUCUUUAAUCCAAACAGCCUCAGCAUUCACCCAACCUGAGCCUAUGGGACCCCAAGCAGAUCUGGAUUCACUGUCACUUGCCAUCUACCCGCCUGGCCCUCUCUUCCUAUGACAGAAAUAAACGCUGUAGCCCUGUAGCUAUUUCACCCCACCUACAUACCCUGCACCCCUCAUACCCCCCAUCUGACUUCCCUGGCUGAGAAGUUGGUACUGCCCUCUAGAGCAGGCCCUGUCACCAGUGCACCCCUCAGUCCACAGGGGUGUGUCGUUAAUAUGUUGCAGUUGAUGCCUCUCUCUUAAAAAAAAAAAAAAAAAAAGGUGGUUGUCACCUUGGUGACUCACACAGGGCUUGCCAGCUCAAACUCUGGAAUCUGUAUAUCUGUCUCAAGUCUCAGGUCUCCCACCUGACCACACUUUGCUCUGUUUGUAGUUAAUUAAAUUGACAUUAAUCAAGACCCAGGUGAGGGGCAGUGAGGUAAUAGUUUGCUUGUAUUGCUUUAAUAUCAUCUGAUUAAUCAUCGUAGCAUGAAGGAGUUCCCAAAAUAUACAGCCACCAUGUUAGGGUGAAAAACCUGGAUAUUUGCCCUAAACUAUCCUUGCACUUGGGAUCAGGGAGCUCUCUGAAUUCCUAUACCUAGUCACCUGUUUGAGAAUAAGACUUUUGUUUGUUUGGUUUCUGAAUUUGAACAUUUGAAUUUCUUUGUAGCAAAGCAAAGCAAAUUAGUGACAUAACUGGGUCAGGGAAAGUGAUUGGGAGUCAACAGUUUGUAUUUUGUAUCAUUUUUAGGUUAAAUUCUCUUUUGGCCUAGGGGAGGUUGUGCCAGAUGUUGCAUUAAGUAGUGGGAAGAUUUUGGGGGGCAGGGCGGUGUGUGUGUGUGGGGGUGGGAGGUGGCAGGGUGGAAUCAACUACAAAAAGUUGACAAUUGUAUGUAGAACUGAACAUAGGAUUAGAAAGGAGCUUUUUUGACUCUCUGUUUAAGGGGACAUACAGGAGAAAAACAAUUUUGUUUUCUUUUUAGAAAACAAUUUAUAAAACUUGUUCUACAUGAAGCGAUUUUCAGGUUUGCAGUUGAGACCCAGUCAUUGUUGGGCAUUACAUUGAUUUUCUUUUCAAAUGAAGUAGAAUAGAAAAUAACAGUACAGGCCAGGCGCGGUGGCUCAAGCCUGUAAUCCCAGCACUUUGGGAGGCCGAGACAGGUGGAUCAUGAGGUCAGGAGAUCGAGACCAUCCUGGCUAACACAGUGAAACCCCGUCUCUACUAAAAAAUAUAAAAAACUAGCCCUGGGCGAGGUGGCAGGUGCCUGUACUCCCAGCUACUCGGGAGGCUGAGGCAGGAGAAUGGCAUAAACCCAGGAGGCAGAGCUUGCAGUGAGCUGAGAUCCAGCCACUGCACUCCAGCCUGGGCAACAGAGCAAGACUCCGUCUCAAAAAAAAAAAAAAAAA
Molecule: long non-coding RNA, 2188 nt
Organism: Macaca fascicularis (crab-eating macaque)
Lineage: Eukaryota; Metazoa; Chordata; Mammalia; Primates; Cercopithecidae
Source: Ensembl